This 585-nucleotide small RNA is filed under the name Pan troglodytes (chimpanzee). RNAcentral's name for it is "processed transcript". Lineage: Eukaryota; Metazoa; Chordata; Mammalia; Primates; Hominidae. The record is from RNAcentral.
UUACUUUAUAAAAACUGGGAAAAUAUACUUGAAAGAGGUUUGGCUUUUCUGAUCAUUUAUUUUAUGAAACACUUUGAUGCUCUAUUCUGGGGAUACAAAUGCUCAGGGGAGAACGAAGUGGGCAUUUGGAAAAUGGCAUUCCUAUGAAGAAAGCACGAAAUGAUGAAUAUGAGAAUCUGUUUAAUAUGAUUGUAGAAAUACCUCGGUGGACAAAUGCUAAAAUGGAGAUUGCCACCAAGGAGCCAAUGAAUCCCAUUAAACAAUAUGUAAAGGAUGGAAAGCUACGCUAUGUGGCGAAUAUCUUCCCUUACAAGGGUUAUAUAUGGAAUUAUGGUACCCUCCCUCAGAUAUUGAUGAUGUUAAGAAGUUCAAACCGGGUUACCUGGAAGCUACUCUUAAUUGGUUUAGAUUAUAUAAGGUACCAGAUGGAAAACCAGAAAACCAGUUUGCUUUUAAUGGAGAAUUCAAAAACAAGGCUUUUGCUCUUGAAGUCAUUAAAUCCACUCAUCAAUGUUGGAAAGCAUUGCUUAUGAAGAAGUGUAAUGGAGGAGCUAUAAAUUGCACAAACGUGCAGAUAUCUGAUAG